AAGUGAACACGAGUCGCUGGUGUAGAGAAAAACAUCCACUUUAGCUAGUGCUUUUUACUUGUUCGCAGAAUAAACAAUACUUUGCCCAAGCAUAACCCAAAUUGUAACCCAUUAAAUUUGCGGUGCAUAUUUUAACUGCAAAGCCUACAAUU
This 152-nucleotide small nucleolar RNA is filed under the name Drosophila willistoni. Its description in RNAcentral is "snoRNA:GK26515". The record is from RNAcentral. Lineage: Eukaryota; Metazoa; Arthropoda; Insecta; Diptera; Drosophilidae.